RNAcentral lists this ribosomal RNA (478 nucleotides) under uncultured bacterium. RNAcentral describes it as "partial 16S ribosomal RNA". It matches the Rfam family "Bacterial small subunit ribosomal RNA", at positions 28 to 523 of the family's 1533-position model. The record is from RNAcentral.
GACGAACGCUGGCGGCGUGCUUAACACAUGCAAGUCGAACGGUAAGGCCCUUCGGGGUACACGAGUGGCGAACGGGUGAGUAACACGUGGGUGAUCUGCCCUGCACUUCGGGAUAAGCCUGAGAAACUGGGUCUAAUACCGGAUAGGACCACUGCCUGCAUGGGUGGUGGUGGAAAGCUUUUGCGGUGUGGGAUGGGCCCGCGGCCUAUCAGCUUGUUGGUGGGGUGAUGGCCUACCAAGGCGACGACGGGUAGCCGGCCUGAGAGGGUGACCGGCCACACUGGGACUGAGAUACGGCCCAGACUCCUACGGGAGGCAGCAGUGGGGAAUAUUGCACAAUGGGCGCAAGCCUGAUGCAGUGACGCCGCGUGAGGGAUGACGGCCUUCGGGUUGUAAACCUCUUUCAGCACCGACGAAGCGCAAGUGACGGUAGGUGCAGAAGAAGGACCGGCCAACUACGUGCCAGCCGCCGCAGUAA